ACGGGGGGGGCAAGCGUUGUUCGGAAUUACUGGGCGUAAAGGGCUCGUAGGCGGCCAAUUAAGUCAGACGUGAAAUCCCUCGGCUCAACUGGGGAACUGCGUCUGAUACUGGAUGGCUUGAGUGUGGGAGAGGGAUGUAGAAUUCCAGGUGUAGCGGUGAAAUGCGUAGAUAUCAGGAGGAACACCCGUGGCGAAGGCGGCUCACUGGGCAUCUCCUGACGCUGAGGCGCGAAAGUGUGGGGAGCAAACAGGA
This 253-nucleotide ribosomal RNA is filed under the name uncultured prokaryote. RNAcentral's name for it is "partial 16S ribosomal RNA". It matches the Rfam family "Bacterial small subunit ribosomal RNA", at positions 525 to 777 of the family's 1533-position model. The record is from RNAcentral.